Molecule: transfer RNA, 71 nt
Filed under: Sphaerodactylus townsendi
Lineage: Eukaryota; Metazoa; Chordata; Lepidosauria; Squamata; Sphaerodactylidae
Description: tRNA-Arg
Source: RNAcentral
UGGCUGAGGUUCAGUGGCAGAUUAUCUGCUUUCUAAGCAGAAAACGCCAGGUUCGAAUCCUUGGAUCCCAA